GGAAGGCGGUGCUCUGGGAAGCCGGACAACGCGGCACCCGCUCUUCAAAGCGGAGCCGGGAGUUUUUGCUACAGUUGUCGCCACCAUGAGUCGCAGCUAUAAUGAUGAGCUGCAGUUCUUGGAGAAGAUCAAUAAAAACUGCUGGAGGAUCAAGAAGGGCUUCGUGCCCAACAUGCAGGUUGAAGGCGUUUUCUAUGUGAAUGAUGCUCUGGAGAAAUUGAUGUUUGAGGAAUUAAGGAAUGCCUGUCGAGGUGGUGGUGUUGGUGGCUUCCUGCCAGCCAUGAAACAGAUUGGCAACGUGGCAGCCCUGCCUGGAAUUGUUCAUCGAUCUAUUGGGCUUCCUGAUGUCCAUUCAGGAUAUGGGUUUGCUAUUGGGAACAUGGCAGCCUUUGAUAUGAAUGACCCUGAAGCAGUAGUAUCCCCAGGUGGUGUCGGGUUUGACAUCAACUGUGGUGUCCGCUUGCUAAGAACCAAUUUAGAUGAAAGUGAUGUCCAGCCUGUGAAGGAGCAACUUGCCCAAGCUAUGUUUGACCACAUUCCUGUUGGGGUGGGGUCAAAAGGUGUCAUCCCAAUGAAUGCCAAGUAAGAGCACACGUUUCCAGUACGUGGUAUGGGAGGGAUAAUAACCACAUGACCUUCAGCUUCGUUUCCAGCGCACUACACUUGAGAGAUGAGGAUUGUUCAGUUACUUUUCAGGAAGUAGUAAGAAUUGUUUUUUUAAGCAUGAGGUUCAGCCCAUUUAUUGGAGACAUUAGUCAACCGAUGUU
Molecule: small RNA, 767 nt
Filed under: Pongo abelii (Sumatran orangutan)
Lineage: Eukaryota; Metazoa; Chordata; Mammalia; Primates; Hominidae
Description: retained intron
Source: RNAcentral